AUCAAUGGCUGCAUUCGAGACAUCGUGAGCAAGAGAGGGGCUAUAAGAACCAAAAGAAGGUGAAUUGCUGUUUCUUGCAGCUCCAACAGCUUUGCAUUUUGCAGUCUCUUCCCCUGCUAUAGAAAUGGCCUCCUUUAGCUGCUUGGAUGUUCUCUCCAGCUCAAUUUCUUGAAGUUGUGCUUUACAGGGUACACUAGCUACAAAGAUGCACCAGAGAGCCACAAGGUUUCAAAUGAAGGGCCAUAGCUCCUGUACUUCGCACCUAUGGGCAAUGGCUAACACCCGGAUUAGAAUGAAAUUUUAUGGGGAUAGGUAUUUGGCAAAUCUUACUUGGCAGCUCCUGCAUGACUGAUUUAUGUGUUGUUUUCACUCGGGAGUUCUGCAUAUUCAUCUAUUGAAAGGCUUUCUCUUUUGGAUUUUAAAAGCAUCCUACUUUUUCAUGAGCCUCCAAGAUCUUUGUAAAUCCCUUACCUAUGUUCUUAUCAUAUGCAUAUGCAUGCAGAGGUAUGUACAUGUACACAUGUAAGUUUUUUAU
Molecule: long non-coding RNA, 535 nt
Organism: Corylus avellana
Lineage: Eukaryota; Viridiplantae; Streptophyta; Magnoliopsida; Fagales; Betulaceae
Source: RefSeq, a predicted model, not a curated record